This is a long non-coding RNA of Oreochromis niloticus (Nile tilapia), 925 nucleotides long. RefSeq lists it as uncharacterized. The record is from RefSeq and is a predicted model, not a curated record. Lineage: Eukaryota; Metazoa; Chordata; Actinopteri; Cichliformes; Cichlidae. The transcript has 3 exons.
AGGGAGGAAGUUAAGUUGGACGUGUGUGUGUGUGUGUGUGUCACAGAGAUCACACAGCUGAGGCAUGUGGAGGUGUACAGCACAUAGGUGUUUUGACUGACAGCUUCUAGCUGUAAUCACGUGUAUGAUUGUUUCCACAUGUGAAACGGAUGUAAAAAUGAUUGGAUGAAAAAUCCCCCCGUGGCCGGCAGUCUGACUAAAGGCUGUGAAGUCGUGUCAACAUGGUUUCAGUUAUCCUGCAGGAAAGAGGACCCCAGCACGCCUGCUUAAAGAAAAAGAGAGGAGACACCAGCAUCUGAACAGAGAUUCAAACCAGCAACCUGCAGGUCCCUGCUUGGCUGCUCCAGUUUUCUCCUCACUCAUGUUGCCCACCAGUGAUUUCUAGCUGGCCACCCACACAGCAGGCUAGAAUAUGCGCUGAGCCUCAGCACCAUGGUUGCAAUACUUGGACAUGUUUUCUUUAUUAAAUAAUGAACCAGACCCCAAAAAGUGAACAGCUGUUAUUGCUAGGCAACGGGAGCAGCAUUUGGUGAUGCAGCACCUGACAUUCCUGACCAUGUGGGCGGAGCAUGCAUGAGAUGGAAUGUUUAGUAGAACUGUGCAACACAAGCACUUAGUUACAGCAUUUUUCAUUUUAUCCAGACACAGCUAGAGACAAAUCUACAGCAGCAUCUCUGUGCAGGACAAACCACAGUUGAAGAUAAAAAACCAUCGAAAACUUCACUUCACUUCUCUACAAUAAGUUGGUUCCUUUCUUUAAAAGGCCAAAAUGAAUCAAGGGAGAUCGAGAAGAGGAUAUGUGAGUGCUUCACCAUACAGUACAGUGAAGUCUGAGCUGAUUAACCUACAAGAAGAAUUUAAAAUAAUACAGGCUGAAAAUGUCAAAUUAAAAGAAGAGGCAGAAAAAUCAAGAGGAGAAGCUAAA